UGGAGAGUUUGAUCCUGGCUCAGGACGAACGCUGGCGGCGUGCCUAAUACAUGCAAGUAGGACGCACAGUCUAUACCGUAGCUUGCUACACCAUAGGCUGUGAGUUGCGAACGGGUGAGUAACGCGUAGGUAACCUGCCUAUUAGAGGGGGAUAACUAUUGGAAACGAUAGCUAAUACCGCAUAACAGUAUGUAACACAUGUUAGAUGCUUGAAAGAUGCAAUUGCAUCGCUAGUAGAUGGACCUGCGUUGUAUUAGCUAGUAGGUAGGGUAAUGGCCUACCUAGGCAACGAUACAUAGCCGACCUGAGAGGGUGAUCGGCCACACUGGGACUGAGACACGGCCCAGACUCCUACGGGAGGCAGCAGUAGGGAAUCUUCGGCAAUGGGGGGAACCCUGACCGAGCAACGCCGCGUGAGUGAAGAAGGUUUUCGGAUCGUAAAGCUCUGUUGUUAAGGAAGAACGAGUGUGAGAAUGGAAAGUUCAUACUGUGACGGUACUUAACCAGAAAGGGACGGCUAACUACGUGCCAGCAGCCGCGGUA
This 543-nucleotide ribosomal RNA is filed under the name Streptococcus anginosus. RNAcentral's name for it is "bacterial SSU rRNA". It matches the Rfam family "Bacterial small subunit ribosomal RNA", at positions 1 to 522 of the family's 1533-position model. The record is from RNAcentral. Lineage: Bacteria; Bacillati; Bacillota; Bacilli; Lactobacillales; Streptococcaceae.